UCUUAUUUAGAGAGGUGGAGGGAUGUGCCCGAUGAAACCCAGCAACCGUCAACUUAUGUUGAAAAGGUGCCAAAUCACACAAAGCAAGAGCUUUGGAAGAUGAGA
This 105-nucleotide non-coding RNA is filed under the name uncultured Ferdinandcohnia sp. RNAcentral describes it as "SAM riboswitch (S box leader)". It matches the Rfam family "SAM riboswitch aptamer (S box leader)". From Rfam's summary of the family: The SAM riboswitch is found upstream of a number of genes which code for proteins involved in methionine or cysteine biosynthesis in Gram-positive bacteria. The record is from RNAcentral. Lineage: Bacteria; Bacillati; Bacillota; Bacilli; Caryophanales; Bacillaceae.